RNAcentral lists this ribosomal RNA (2931 nucleotides) under Shigella flexneri. Its description in RNAcentral is "bacterial LSU rRNA". It matches the Rfam family "Bacterial large subunit ribosomal RNA". Lineage: Bacteria; Pseudomonadati; Pseudomonadota; Gammaproteobacteria; Enterobacterales; Enterobacteriaceae. The record is from RNAcentral.
GGGUUGUGAGGUUAAGCGACUAAGCGUACACGGUGGAUGCCCUGGCAGUCAGAGGCGAUGAAGGACGUGCUAAUCUGCGAUAAGCGUCGGUAAGGUGAUAUGAACCGUUAUAACCGGCGAUUUCCGAAUGGGGAAACCCAGUGUGAUUCGUCACACUAUCAUUAACUGAAUCCAUAGGUUAAUGAGGCGAACCGGGGGAACUGAAACAUCUAAGUACCCCGAGGAAAAGAAAUCAACCGAGAUUCCCCCAGUAGCGGCGAGCGAACGGGGAGCAGCCCAGAGCCUGAAUCAGUGUGUGUGUUAGUGGAAGCGUCUGGAAAGGCGUGCGAUACAGGGUGACAGCCCCGUACACAAAAAUGCACAUACUGUGAGCUCGAUGAGUAGGGCGGGACACGUGGUAUCCUGUCUGAAUAUGGGGGGACCAUCCUCCAAGGCUAAAUACUCCUGACUGACCGAUAGUGAACCAGUACCGUGAGGGAAAGGCGAAAAGAACCCCGGCGAGGGGAGUGAAAAAGAACCUGAAACCGUGUACGUACAAGCAGUGGGAGCACGCUUAGGCGUGUGACUGCGUACCUUUUGUAUAAUGGGUCAGCGACUUAUAUUCUGUAGCAAGGUUAACCGAAUAGGGGAGCCGAAGGGAAACCGAGUCUUAACUGGGCGUUAAGUUGCAGGGUAUAGACCCGAAACCCGGUGAUCUAGCCAUGGGCAGGUUGAAGGUUGGGUAACACUAACUGGAGGACCGAACCGACUAAUGUUGAAAAAUUAGCGGAUGACUUGUGGCUGGGGGUGAAAGGCCAAUCAAACCGGGAGAUAGCUGGUUCUCCCCGAAAGCUAUUUAGGUAGCGCCUCGUGAAUUCAUCUCCGGGGGUAGAGCACUGUUUCGGCAAGGGGGUCAUCCCGACUUACCAACCCGAUGCAAACUGCGAAUACCGGAGAAUGUUAUCACGGGAGACACACGGCGGGUGCUAACGUCCGUCGUGAAGAGGGAAACAACCCAGACCGCCAGCUAAGGUCCCAAAGUCAUGGUUAAGUGGGAAACGAUGUGGGAAGGCCCAGACAGCCAGGAUGUUGGCUUAGAAGCAGCCAUCAUUUAAAGAAAGCGUAAUAGCUCACUGGUCGAGUCGGCCUGCGCGGAAGAUGUAACGGGGCUAAACCAUGCACCGAAGCUGCGGCAGCGACGCUUAUGCGUUGUUGGGUAGGGGAGCGUUCUGUAAGCCUGUGAAGGUGUGCUGUGAGGUAUGCUGGAGGUAUCAGAAGUGCGAAUGCUGACAUAAGUAACGAUAAAGCGGGUGAAAAGCCCGCUCGCCGGAAGACCAAGGGUUCCUGUCCAACGUUAAUCGGGGCAGGGUGAGUCGACCCCUAAGGCGAGGCCGAAAGGCGUAGUCGAUGGGAAACAGGUUAAUAUUCCUGUACUUGGUGUUACUGCGAAGGGGGGACGGAGAAGGCUAUGUUGGCCGGGCGACGGUUGUCCCGGUUUAAGCGUGUAGGCUGGUUUUCCAGGCAAAUCCGGAAAAUCAAGGCCGAGGCGUGAUGACGAGGCACUACGGUGCUGAAGCAACAAAUGCCCUGCUUCCAGGAAAAGCCUCUAAGCAUCAGGUAACAUCAAAUCGUACCCCAAACCGACACAGGUGGUCAGGUAGAGAAUACCAAGGCGCUUGAGAGAACUCGGGUGAAGGAACUAGGCAAAAUGGUGCCGUAACUUCGGGAGAAGGCACGCUGAUACGUAGGUGAAGCGACUUGCUCGUGGAGCUGAAAUCAGUCGAAGAUACCAGCUGGCUGCAACUGUUUAUUAAAAACACAGCACUGUGCAAACACGAAAGUGGACGUAUACGGUGUGACGCCUGCCCGGUGCCGGAAGGUUAAUUGAUGGGGUUAGCGCAAGCGAAGCUCUUGAUCGAAGCCCCGGUAAACGGCGGCCGUAACUAUAACGGUCCUAAGGUAGCGAAAUUCCUUGUCGGGUAAGUUCCGACCUGCACGAAUGGCGUAAUGAUGGCCAGGCUGUCUCCACCCGAGACUCAGUGAAAUUGAACUCGCUGUGAAGAUGCAGUGUACCCGCGGCAAGACGGAAAGACCCCGUGAACCUUUACUAUAGCUUGACACUGAACAUUGAGCCUUGAUGUGUAGGAUAGGUGGGAGGCUUUGAAGUGUGGACGCCAGUCUGCAUGGAGCCGACCUUGAAAUACCACCCUUUAAUGUUUGAUGUUCUAACGUGGACCCGUAAUCCGGGUUGCGGACAGUGUCUGGUGGGUAGUUUGACUGGGGCGGUCUCCUCCUAAAGAGUAACGGAGGAGCACGAAGGUUGGCUAAUCCUGGUCGGACAUCAGGAGGUUAGUGCAAUGGCAUAAGCCAGCUUGACUGCGAGCGUGACGGCGCGAGCAGGUGCGAAAGCAGGUCAUAGUGAUCCGGUGGUUCUGAAUGGAAGGGCCAUCGCUCAACGGAUAAAAGGUACUCCGGGGAUAACAGGCUGAUACCGCCCAAGAGUUCAUAUCGACGGCGGUGUUUGGCACCUCGAUGUCGGCUCAUCACAUCCUGGGGCUGAAGUAGGUCCCAAGGGUAUGGCUGUUCGCCAUUUAAAGUGGUACGCGAGCUGGGUUUAGAACGUCGUGAGACAGUUCGGUCCCUAUCUGCCGUGGGCGCUGGAGAACUGAGGGGGGCUGCUCCUAGUACGAGAGGACCGGAGUGGACGCAUCACUGGUGUUCGGGUUGUCAUGCCAAUGGCACUGCCCGGUAGCUAAAUGCGGAAGAGAUAAGUGCUGAAAGCAUCUAAGCACGAAACUUGCCCCGAGAUGAGUUCUCCCUGACCCUUUAAGGGUCCUGAAGGAACGUUGAAGACGACGACGUUGAUAGGCCGGGUGUGUAAGCGCAGCGAUGCGUUGAGCUAACCGGUACUAAUGAACCGUGAGGCUUAACCUUACAACGCCGAAGGUGUUU